Molecule: long non-coding RNA, 1143 nt
Filed under: Parus major (Great Tit)
Lineage: Eukaryota; Metazoa; Chordata; Aves; Passeriformes; Paridae
Description: lncRNA (ENSPMJG00000001603.1)
Source: RNAcentral
CUGCUUCCAUUUUAUUUUUCAUUCCUAUUUCAGUUCCAAUCUGUAGGGUUCUUAUCUUAGUGUACAAGCAUCUGCCCAGACCCUGUUGACUUCUGUUGGUUUAGAUUUGUAGGUUUCCAAAGUGUUUCCAGUGGAAAUGUAGAUGACUCUAAAAGGGAUUUUAAGUUUGCAAACAACAUGAGGUUUCCUAGCUACACAUCAUGGACCCGUCAGAGCAGGUACAAAAGCUGGUAGGUUGUGUAAACAUCUUACACAAACCAGUUACAUUAGGGUAGGAAGAAGGGAUUAAAUAAUUUUCUUGCAAGUGAAUUAAGUUCUUGGAGACUCCACAUUUCCCAAAGAGGAAAUUAAUUACCUUUGAAUAAAGAUGGGGGUGCUCACCAGCUUCACCUGCUGAAAUAAAUACCCUCACCUCAAUUUUUUAAGUUUCUGGAGUCUGAAGAUACUCUGCAUUCAGUCUGGUCUAAAACAAAACCUCUCUUGGAUAAAGAAAGAAAAUGAACGACAUGAUUUGCUAAAUCAGUAUGGCACAUUUGUUCAUGGUGGAUUUUGUCAAACUUCCCUAGAAUGGAUUUUGGAAAGGAGGGCCUGCAAGCAGACACUUUUAAGGAGGAAGACCAUCCAUCACAGCAGACUGUCAGUGAUCUGACAAGCAGGGUGCCAUCUUCCAGUAUAACUGAGAAGGUUGUAUCAUCUUCACACCCAGCUUGGGUUGACAAUAUGAGUCCAGCAAGAGCUUUCAUUUCAUUCAGAAGCCAGUGGUCUGAAGCAAGAGUAAUGUCUCGACAGAUAACCACAAACAAGGUUUUCAGCAUCCAAAGCAACUAUCUUAUUCAACCAACUCUGAUCUUUUUUUCUCAGAAGCUGAAUUCCAGUGUAAACCAGGCUGGAAUUCAUGAUGCAAGUGAUACCAUGGAAAUGUUCACUCCUCCUUUGCUCCCCACCUCAGAGAUGAGCCAUUGUGCUGCCACAUACAAAACCAUGGAGCAGGCUCCAGGGCAGCAGGACCAGCUGAUGAAGCAGAAGAUGGAGAAGCUGCAAAGGCUGGUGGCUGAACAGCAGAAAAUCAUCACACUUUACAACCCAGGCAAAUCCCACCAGCAAGUGGUAAUAGACAGAAGACUUCCGAAAAUUUUGUUGAAG